This 397-nucleotide ribosomal RNA is filed under the name uncultured bacterium. Its description in RNAcentral is "partial 16S ribosomal RNA". It matches the Rfam family "Bacterial small subunit ribosomal RNA", at positions 523 to 918 of the family's 1533-position model. The record is from RNAcentral.
AUACGUAGGGGGCGAGCGUUGUCCGGAAUGAUUGGGCGUAAAGGGCGCGUAGGCGGCCUGUUAAGUCUGGAGUGAAAGUCCUGUUUUCAAGAUGGGAAUUGCUUUGGAUACUGGGGGGCUUGAGUGCAGGAGAGGUUAUCGGAAUUCCCGGUGUAGCGGUGAAAUGCGUAGAGAUCGGGAGGAACACCAGUGGCGAAGGCGGGUAACUGGACUGCAACUGACGCUGAGGCGCGAAAGUGUGGGGAGCAAACAGGAUUAGAUACCCUGGUAGUCCACACUGUAAACGAUGAAUGCUAGGUGUAAGAGGUAUCGACCCCUUUUGUGCCGGAGUCAACACAAUAAGCAUUCCGCCUGGGGAGUACGGCCGCAAGGUUGAAACUCAAAUGAAUUGACGGGG